Molecule: ribosomal RNA, 468 nt
Filed under: uncultured bacterium
Lineage: Bacteria
Description: partial 16S ribosomal RNA
Rfam family: Bacterial small subunit ribosomal RNA
Source: RNAcentral
GACGAACGCUGGCGGCGUGCUUAACACAUGCAAGUCGAACGGAAAGGCCCUGCUUUUGUGGGGUGCUCGAGUGGCGAACGGAUGAGUAACACGUGAGUAACCUGCCCUUGACUUUGGGAUAACUUCAGGAAACUGGGGCUAAUACCGGAUAGGAGCUCCUGCUGCAUGGUGGGGGUUGGAAAGUUUCGGCGGUUGGGGAUGGACUCGCGGGUUAUCAGCUUGUUGGUGGGGUAGUGGCUUACCAAGGCUUUGACGGGUAGCCGGCCUGAGAGGGUGACCGGCCACAUUGGGACUGAGAUACGGCCCAGACUCCUACGGGAGGCAGCAGUGGGGAAUAUUGCACAAUGGGCGGAAGCCUGAUGCAGCAACGCCGCGUGCGGGAUGACGGCCUUCGGGUUGUAAACCGCUUUCGCCUGUGACGAAGCGUGAGUGACGGUAAUGGGUAAAGAAGCACCGGCUAACUACGUG